UACGGAGGGUGCAAGCGUUAUCCGGAUUCACUGGGUUUAAAGGGUGCGUAGGUGGGCAGGUAAGUCAGUGGUGAAAUCUCCGUGCUUAACAUGGAAACUGCCAUUGAUACUAUGUUUCUUGAAUUUUCUGGAGGUUAGCGGAAUAUGUCAUGUAGCGGUGAAAUGCUUAGAUAUGACAUAGAACACCAAUUGCGAAGGCAGCUAGCUACAGGGAUAUUGACACUGAGGCACGAAAGCGUGGGGAUCAAACAGG
This 253-nucleotide ribosomal RNA is filed under the name uncultured bacterium. Its description in RNAcentral is "partial 16S ribosomal RNA". It matches the Rfam family "Bacterial small subunit ribosomal RNA", at positions 524 to 776 of the family's 1533-position model. The record is from RNAcentral.